This 390-nucleotide unclassified non-coding RNA is filed under the name soil metagenome. Its description in RNAcentral is "partial contains 5.8S ribosomal RNA, internal transcribed spacer 2, and large subunit ribosomal RNA". The stretch from base 1 to 122 matches the Rfam family "5.8S ribosomal RNA", at positions 35 to 154 of the family's 154-position model. The record is from RNAcentral.
GAUGAAGAACGCAGCGAAAUGCGAUACUUGGUAUGAAUUGCAGAAUCCCGCGAAUCAUCGAGUUUUUGAACGCAAGUUGCGCCCGAAGCCAUUCGGCCGAGGGCACGUCUGCCUGGGUGUCACGCAUCGUUGCCCCCCCAAACUCCGGUUCGGGCGGGGCGGAAGUUGGCCUCCCGUGCGUGCCUGCGCGCGCGGUUAGCCCAAAAGCGAGUCCUCGGCGACGAGCGCCACGACAAUCGGUGGUUUUUUUACCCUCGUUCCUCGUCGUGCGUGUCCCGUCGCCCGAACGCGCUCUUGCGACCCUCACGCGUCGCCUCGGCGGCGCUCCCAACGCGACCCCAGGUCAGGCGGGACUACCCGCUGAGUUUAAGCAUAUCAAUAAGCGGAGGA